Molecule: RNA transcript, 1960 nt
Organism: Cercocebus atys (sooty mangabey)
Lineage: Eukaryota; Metazoa; Chordata; Mammalia; Primates; Cercopithecidae
Gene name: UDP-glucuronosyltransferase 1-8-like
Exons: 2
Source: RefSeq, a predicted model, not a curated record
AUGAGGGAUUCACGCCCAUGAUCCAAACACCUCCCACCAUGCUUUACCUUCAACACUGGGGAUUAUAUUUGACCAUGAUAUAUGGAGGGGACAGACAUACAAACUGUAUCAAAGGCAUAGCAUGGGUUCUGUGAGAGGAGGGUGAAAACACAAAGAUGACAUCGCCACUGACCUCAGGGAGUGCUCAGUAGACUGAGGGAGACAAGUACAUAUUUUCCUGAAGGAGGGCACUGGAGUGAUGGCAUGUUUAGAGUGUGGAAGUAGAGCAGUUACAGAGAGACAGCCCAGCAGGGUGCUUGCUCAAGGACUGGGCCAGCAACUCCCCACUGCAUGUGAUGUAUCUGAGGAAAGUCAUUAAAAUAGGCAAUGGUCACUUUCCAUCAAGACCCUGGUGUGGUCCAUGGAGGCAGGAUUAUCAAUCUCAUUUUGGCAUUUCGGAGACCUCUCAGGGUUUGGAUAUGGAAGAAGACAACCAGCAAUGAUUAUGUAUUUCAGAGAUGUGCGUGAGCCCCAAUUUCUUGCCACUUGGGAGGUCAGUGCUGAGGGCCUUGCUGUCUUUCCAUGACACAUAGGAUGCCAAUUUCUUUCUGGACAGAGAGUAUUUGGUUGGUUAAAGUUAAAAUCUGAAUUUUGUUUUGAGAUAAAUUCCAAAAAUAUUAGCUUUAUUCAAAUUGACUUUCACUUUAUCUUUCUGAAUUUUCAAGGUCCAAAAGCAUUGCUUAGUAAUUCUGUUUCUAAACUCACAUUGCAGCACUGGGCAUGAUCUGUCCAAGGCAGAGACCAUAAGAUAGUCUUGUCUGGAAAACAUACAAGUAGGUAUCUCAACAAAUGAUACUCAUGUAUUCUUGUUCUUAUGAGUAAAUCAUUGGCAGUGAGUGUGAUUUUUUUUUUUUUUUUUUUAAUGGAAGGAUAAACACACACCCUCUAUUGGGAUCAGGUUUUGUGCCUGUACUUCUUCUGCCUACUGUAUCAUAGGAGAUUAGAAUCCCAGCUGCUGGCUGCGGCUGAAGUUCUCUGAUGGCUCGCACAUGGUGGACCAGCCCUGUUCUCCUAUGUGUUUCUCUGCUGCUGACCUGUGGCUUUGCCGAGGCAGGGAAGCUGCUGGUAGUGCCCAUGGAUGGGAGCCACUGGUUCACCAUGCAGUCGGUGGUGGAGAAACUUAUCCUCAGGGGGCAUGAGGUGGUUGUAGUCAUGCCAGAGGUGAGUUGGCAACUGGGAAGAUCACUGAAUUGCACAGUGAAGAGUUAUUAAACCUCAUACACUCUGGAGGAUCUGGACCGGGAAUUCAUGGCUUUCGCCCAUGCUCAAUGGAAAGCACAAGUACAAAGUUUCUUUUCUCUAUUUCUGAGUUCAUCCAACGGUUUUUUUGAUUUAUUUUUUUUCGCAUUGCAGGAGUUUGUUUAAUGACCAAAAAUUGGUAGAAUACUUAGAGUUCUUUUGAUGCAGUGUUUCUGGAUCCUUUUGAUGCCUGUGGCUUAAUUGUUGCCAAAUAUUUCUCCCUCCCCUCUGUGGUCUUUGCCAGGGGAAUAGCUUGCCACUAUCUUGAAGAAGGUGCGCAGUGCCCUGCUCCUCUUUCCUAUGUCCCCAGAAUUCUCUUAGGGUUCUCAGAUGCCAUGACUUUCAAGGAGAGAGUAUGGAACCAUAUCAUGCACUUGGAGGAACAUUUAUUUUGCAAGUAUUUUUUCAAAAAUGCCCUAGAAAUCGCCUCUGAAAUUCUCCAAACACCUGUCACAGAAUAUGAUCUCUACAGCCACACAUCAAUUUGGUUGUUGCGAACGGACUUUGUUUUGGACUAUCCCAAACCCGUGAUGCCCAACAUGGUCUUCAUUGGUGGUAUCAACUGCCAUCAGGGAAAGCCAGUGCCUAUGAUCAGUAGAAUGGAGUUGAGAAUCCAGAAAUAAACCCAUACAUCCGUGGCCAAUUAGUUUUUACUGUGGUGCCGAGACUGUUGAAAUGGGAA